RNAcentral lists this transfer RNA (73 nucleotides) under Stegodyphus dumicola. Its description in RNAcentral is "tRNA-Ser". It matches the Rfam family "tRNA". From Rfam's summary of the family: Transfer RNA (tRNA) molecules are approximately 80 nucleotides in length. Their secondary structure includes four short double-helical elements and three loops (D, anti-codon, and T loops). Further hydrogen bonds mediate the characteristic L-shaped molecular structure. tRNAs have two regions of fundamental functional importance: the anti-codon, which is responsible for specific mRNA codon recognition, and the 3' end, to which the tRNAs corresponding amino acid is attached (by aminoacyl-tRNA synthetases). tRNAs cope with the degeneracy of the genetic code in two manners: having more than one tRNA (with a specific anti-codon) for a particular amino acid; and 'wobble' base-pairing, i.e. permitting non-standard base-pairing at the 3rd anti-codon position. Lineage: Eukaryota; Metazoa; Arthropoda; Arachnida; Araneae; Eresidae. The record is from RNAcentral.
GUCUUCGUGGUGUAGCGGUCAGCACGCUCGACGCGAAUUCGAGAGGUCCGUGGUUCGAGUCCCGGCGAGGGCA